CACUCUGAAACAUGGCAUCCGCUACAGAACGUGUUGAGUUUGUAGCGUAUGUGCCACCUGCCACCCAACGAUUCCAUUAGAGCUCUACAAUAGUUGCACAGCGGUUUCGUCCGCUGUAAGUGACUAUUUUGCUUUUUUUGGGAUGAAAUAAUUUCUAUUGUGAACUUUCCAGCUAAUUCGGAAACUCACAAAACAAAAUGUUUAAUGUUUGGGGUAUGUUUUGUGGGAAACUUUAAUUUAUGGUUUAGUAUUCCAUGGUUGUCCAUCUUCAUAUUUGGAAUUCUAUGUCAAAAUAGGUUAAUUUAUUAGUAAUAUCUCAAUUUAUCAAGCAAUUUGUAGUCAUGGGCUGGACACUCAUGAGCUUGACAUCCGAGUAUAUAAUCUUUUCUUGACACAUAGAUUAUAUACACUGGUGCUGAAAUUGUGCAAUUGGAAAGCAACUAUUGCAUGUAUGGAAAUGGUUAUUCAAAAAAAUAAAUAUUUAUUCAUUACGAAAGUAUAAAAAUGGGUACCCGAACUUUUUUUAAUUCUUUAUUUUACAUUUAAGGAAAUUUGUAUUUUUUCAGUUGUAAUGAUUUUUAUGCCUUUUUCGGGAUUCACUAAAUCAGUUAAGUAUGUGUUUUAAUCAAUUUGCUCCUAUAGAAAGAGUUACCUCAAACCAUUGACAAGAGCUCUAGAACAUAAUGAAAAAUUGAAAUACACUUCAAAGAUCAUUCAAUUGGACCAGAAUCAUUAUUUGCUUGUUAUAAUAAACUGUAUAAUGGAGUACAUGGCUGUGAAAUCAUUAAAUUAACCAAAAAAUACAUUAUAUAGGUUACCUACUAUGAUAAACCAAUAUGUGGAACACCUUUAGGAAUAAAAUUUCAUGAUGAGUUGUUAUAUGUUGCUGAUGAAUACUAUGGAAUUUUGACAGUAAAUGUUCAUAAACGCAAGUUUGAUGUGAAGAGAGGUUUCAAAUAACAUUAGCUAAAAAUGGUGAUAUAUACUAAACCAAUACCUCAACUAAUGUAUAAAAUGGUUUCUUUGAAUUCUUAUCUUAUCCAUUUGACAGAUGUAUACGAAAAGCACCCAGAGAUUGCAAAUGAGCUGAACGUAUGUGAUAAACGUGGGCAGAGUAGAAUAGAGACAGCCAGAAUUACUCAAGGCAAUUGUGAAAUUAGUGAGUCAUGGUGCUUCCACUGAUGCAAGAAGGUGAAGUGAAAUUUUGAGCAGCUGUCAUUUUUCUAUCACAGGAUGAUAAGACAAGAGUGCCAUUGGGGAUCACAGCAGCAAAUGAACAAGCGCCUAUUUUAAUACACUUGGAUUAUCAGGUCAAACUUUCAGACCACGAUUGGGUGGUAGUUGAAAGGCACAAACUUAUACCGUCUGUCUACGCUUUAUUAGUUGUUUUGCCUGAUAUGAUGGGCUCUGCAAAAGCUGUAACGUACUUGGGACCGAUUCAGUUGUGAUUAGAAGUGGCAAGCACUCAAAAUCAACUGCUUCUACUUAUGCUGUUGAUUUUGAAUUAUUAGAAAUUGAGUCUUUCAAGCAAAAUAUGCUAGAUGAAAAUGGUUUUGUGAAACCAGUUGUUUUUUUGUCUGUUGAUGGCGGGCCAGAUGAAAACCCGUGCUACACCAAAGUUAUUCAGCAUGCGAUAGAUCAUUUCUAUAAGUACGAUUUGGAUGCAAUAUUUAUUUUUACUAAUGCACCGGGAAGAAGUGCUUUUAAUCCAGUAGAAAGAAAAAUGGCACCCCUCAGCAGAGAACUGGUAGGCGUUGUACUCCAACAUGACCACUUUGGAAGUUAUUUAGAUGAUAGUGGAAAAACUAUCGACAAUGACUUUGAGCUAAAAAAUUUUGCUUUUGCUGCAAAAGUUUGUGGUGGCAAGUAAAUGCGUAGUUGAUGGUUAUGAAGUGAUGGCAGAAUAUGUAGAACCACAGGAAGAUAUACCGAUCCCUAAUUUACCAUCACAGCAAGUGUGGUAUUCAAAGCAUGUGAGAGAAAUUCAAUAUUUUCUUCAGAUUCCAAAAGGCUCUAAGGAAAAUUGCUGUAAACCCGCUAGAAGUGGACUGAAACAAGUUUUGGCAGAUGGGUUUUUGCCGCCGCCGUACCCACUAAAACAAACUUCGACAAAAGUCGAAGUUCUUCAGCCUGGUGUAGAUACACAGAUUUGCUUUGGAGACUUACUAUGCCGUAUUGACAUUAAACCAGAACAUCCAGGAUUCACUAGCAUGCCAUAUGACUGUUUUUGCCCAAGUGUGGCUUGUAUUUCACUACAAAAAAAUCUCAAAAUUCAUAAGCAAAGCAUACAUGGUUCAUCUGUGUCGUUAUCAGAAAGAGUCAAGCUAUUUUAAGUUAUUGCAAGACGAGGCAAAGAAAUAUUAAUAAAGCAAAAAGCAGAAUCAGAACACGUCGGGUGGGUGGACGAAGAGACUCGAUAUAGAAAAUGUUAAUAUAAUCAAUUAUUAUGAACUUGAGAAAAAUUCUGUUCCAGAAAUUCAAGAGGGGUUGGAAAAUCCUUUUACGGACGAUACGAAAUGAUUUUUAUAAUUGUACUGAUUAAUCUAAAAUGAGUGUAUAACUUAAGAUACGCCAAAGACAUGUUUAAUAAUCCAAAUUCUAAAAUUUAUUUAUUUUUAAUAAGACAAAAAAUGUAUCAGAGCAAAUAGAUAGUCAUAUAAUAUGACAUUAGAUAAUGUAGCUUGCAAUAUUUAAGUUAAAUAAACAUGUAUAAGCAAA
Molecule: long non-coding RNA, 2718 nt
Organism: Diorhabda carinulata
Lineage: Eukaryota; Metazoa; Arthropoda; Insecta; Coleoptera; Chrysomelidae
Exons: 4
Source: RefSeq, a predicted model, not a curated record